This 461-nucleotide ribosomal RNA is filed under the name uncultured bacterium. RNAcentral describes it as "partial 16S ribosomal RNA". It matches the Rfam family "Bacterial small subunit ribosomal RNA", at positions 28 to 506 of the family's 1533-position model. The record is from RNAcentral.
GACGAACGCUGGCGACGUGCUUAACACAUGCAAGUCGAGCGGAAAGGCCCUUCGGGGUACUCGAGCGGCGAACGGGUGAGUAACACGUGAGUAACCUGCCCCAGACUUUGGGAUAACCCUCGGAAACGGGGGCUAAUACCGGAUACGACACAGCUUCGCAUGGGGUCUGUGUGGAAAGUUUUUCGGUUUGGGAUGGGCUCGCGGCCUAUCAGCUUGUUGGUGGGGUGAUGGCCUACCAAGGCGACGACGAGUAGCCGGCCUGAGAGGGCGACCGGCCACACUGGGACUGAGACACGGCCCAGACUCCUACGGGAGGCAGCAGUGGGGAAUAUUGCACAAUGGGCGGAAGCCUGAUGCAGCGACGCCGCGUGAGGGAUGACGGCCUUCGGGUUGUAAACCUCUUUCAGCAGGGACGAAGCGUAAGUGACGGUACCUGCAGAAGAAGCGCCGGCCAACUACGU